CCUACGGGUGGCAGCAGUCGAGAAUCAUUCACAAUGGGGGAAACCCUGAUGGUGCGACGCCGCGUGGGGGAAUGAAGGUCUUCGGAUUGUAAACCUCUGUCACCAGGGAAGAAAGGUCACUUUGCUAAUUAGCAGUGAAUUGACGGUACCUGCAAAGGAAGCACAGGCUAACUCCGUGCCAGCAGCCGCGGUAAUACGGAGGGUGCGAGCGUUAAUCGGAAUUACUGGGCGUAAAGCGCGCGUAGGCGGUAUGUCAAGUCAAGGGUGAAAUCCCCGCGCUCAACGUGGGAACUGCCUUUGAAACUGGCCAACUGGAGUGUGUGAGAGGAUAGUGGAAUUCCAGGUGUAGGAGUGAAAGCCGUAGAUAUCAGGAGGAACAUCAGUGGCGAAGGCGACUAACUGGAACAUAACUGACGCUGAGGAGCGAAAGCGUGGGUAGCAAACAGGAUUAGAUACCCUAGUAGUC
This 466-nucleotide ribosomal RNA is filed under the name uncultured bacterium. RNAcentral describes it as "partial 16S ribosomal RNA". It matches the Rfam family "Bacterial small subunit ribosomal RNA", at positions 338 to 795 of the family's 1533-position model. The record is from RNAcentral.